UUUUUUUUUUUUUUUUUUUCUAGUGGUCAAAAGGCUUAUUUUAGUUUUUCUUGGUAGUAAUGAUUCAACCUUUCUUCUUUGUGAUAUCUAUGUUUAUAUUUGUUCUGCUCUAGUUGAAGCCUAACAGUGCUGCAUAAUAUUUGUCUUUGUAUGUAAAUAGAGGACUUGAGUUCUUAUCAAAAAACCAUUAAAGUUCUUGCCAGUCUUGAAAAGAGAACAGGGGAAGGGGAAACUAUUUAGGUCAUAGAUUGUCUCCAGGCUGGGGAACAUUAGAAUAGUGUGUCCUUUUCAAUGUCAAGAUUUGGGCUGUGCCUUAUAUUUCAUUGUCUUAAAGUGUUUGUUAUGCAGUUGUUUCUUUAAACUAAUGCUGUAGUGUACACAGCAUAAGUCUUGAGCUAUACCACUAACACUUUACAGAAAUUAAACAUUUCAUAGAAACAGAAGCACACUUAUGAAAAACAGAAACAAACAUUAUAGAAAUAAAACCCUUUAUAGAAACAAACAAACACUAGAAACCGAAAAGAAACAAAACAUUUUAUAGAAACAUAAAUAAAACGCUUUACAGAAACAAAAACAUUUCAUUGAAACAAAAAAAUAUAGAAGCAGAAAUAAAAAAUUUAUAGAAUCAGAAACAAACCAUUCUAUUGAAACAAAACACUGUAUGGAAUGUGUAAGUUCGUAUGUGUGAAGUUUGGGCAGCUAUUAGAAGAAAAAAAAAGGUUGGUUU
Non-coding RNA from Biomphalaria pfeifferi, 727 nucleotides. The record is from the annotation of a GenBank genome assembly. NCBI's taxonomy places the organism in Eukaryota, Metazoa, Mollusca, Gastropoda, Planorbidae.